This 69-nucleotide transfer RNA is filed under the name Coridius brunneus. Its description in RNAcentral is "tRNA-Ser". It matches the Rfam family "tRNA". From Rfam's summary of the family: Transfer RNA (tRNA) molecules are approximately 80 nucleotides in length. Lineage: Eukaryota; Metazoa; Arthropoda; Insecta; Hemiptera; Dinidoridae. The record is from RNAcentral.
AGUUAUAAAGCUUUAGACAAGCAUAUACUUUGAAAGUAUAAGACAAGAGUUAAAUUCUCUUAAUAACUU